RNAcentral lists this unclassified non-coding RNA (240 nucleotides) under soil metagenome. Its description in RNAcentral is "partial contains 5.8S ribosomal RNA, internal transcribed spacer 2, and large subunit ribosomal RNA". The record is from RNAcentral.
AACACUGUUAACCUGCGGUACCUGCGGAAGGAUCAUUAUUGAAUAAACUUGGUCAAGCUGUUGCUGGUCCUUCGGGACAUGUGCACGCUUGCCACCAAUUUUAACCACCUGUGCACUUUUUGUAGACUUGGAAACGUUUCUCGAGGCAACUCGGAUUGAGAACUGCUGGCGCAAGUCGGCUCUUCUUAUGUUUUCUCAGUCUAUGUUUUCAUAUACACCUAAUGUAUGUAUCAGAAUGUA